AAACGAGCACUUUGGCGUCAAUUUCGUUCGAUUCGACGGCUUCGAAAGCUAAAUAAACCGGCAAAACAAAAUUUGUUC
Non-coding RNA from Caenorhabditis elegans, 78 nucleotides. Lineage: Eukaryota; Metazoa; Nematoda; Chromadorea; Rhabditida; Rhabditidae. The record is from Ensembl.